Molecule: ribosomal RNA, 484 nt
Filed under: uncultured bacterium
Lineage: Bacteria
Description: partial 16S ribosomal RNA
Rfam family: Bacterial small subunit ribosomal RNA
Source: RNAcentral
AUUGAACGCUGGCGGCAGGCCUAACACAUGCAAGUCGAGCGGAUGAAGGGAGCUUGCUCCUGGAUUCAGCGGCGGACGGGUGAGUAAUGCCUAGGAAUCUGCCUGGGAGUGGGGGAUAACGUCCGGAAACGGGCGCUAAUACCGCAUACGUCCUGAGGGAGAAAGUGGGGGAUCUUCGGACCUCACGCUAUCAGAUGAGCCUAGGUCGGAUUAGCUAGUUGGUGGGGUAAAGGCCUACCAAGGCGACGAUCCGUAACUGGUCUGAGAGGAUGAUCAGUCACACUGGAACUGAGACACGGUCCAGACUCCUACGGGAGGCAGCAGUGGGGAAUAUUGGACAAUGGGCGAAAGCCUGAUCCAGGCAUGCCGCGUGUGUGAAGAAGGUCUUCGGAUUGUAAAGCACUUUAAGUUGGGAGGAAGGGCAGUAAGUUAAUACCUUGCUGUUUUGACGUUACCAACAGAAUAAGCACCGGCUAACUUCGUG